GAAAUGCGAUAAGUAGUGUGAAUUGCAGAAUUCAGUGAAUCAUCGAAUGUUUGAAUGCAMCUUGCGCUCCUUGGCUAUCCUCGGAGCAUGCCUGUUUGAGUGUCAUUAAGUUAUCAAAACUGCUGUCAUAGUAAAAUAGGUGUGGGCAGUUUUGGAUAAAUGGGAUGUGCAGGUGUGAUUUAUACCAGCCAGCUAUCCUGAAAUGUAUACAAGCAAUGUCAGUCGCCGACGUUCAUGUUUGGUGUGAUAAGAAAAUACCACCAGCGUGGAAAGGUCUAUAUUGAUAAUGCUAGAAAAACAUACUUUGAUUAAUUAAAACUUGACCUCAAAUCAGGUAGGAUUACCCGCUGAACUUAA
Molecule: ribosomal RNA, 357 nt
Filed under: Amanita sp. 93-701
Lineage: Eukaryota; Fungi; Basidiomycota; Agaricomycetes; Agaricales; Amanitaceae
Description: eukaryotic LSU rRNA
Rfam family: 5.8S ribosomal RNA (bases 1-105)
Source: RNAcentral